GGAUCCAGGGUGAUCCUUCCCCAGGGGAGCAACCCUCACCUCUUCACCUCCUCUCUCCUUCCUGCCCGAAUUCCCCAGGCUCUCUGGCUGUGGAUGCCCUGGCCUCUGCAGCCCCUGCCUUCCACCUUGGGGUCCUGCUCUACCUGCACCCUUGCCUUCCUUCCUGUCACUAGGGCCACUGGAGCUGCCAGCCCUCUGUGUGUGUCUGGGUUGGGG
This is a long non-coding RNA of Ochotona curzoniae (black-lipped pika), 216 nucleotides long. RefSeq lists it as uncharacterized. The record is from RefSeq and is a predicted model, not a curated record. The transcript is spliced from 4 exons. NCBI's taxonomy places the organism in Eukaryota, Metazoa, Chordata, Mammalia, Lagomorpha, Ochotonidae.